This 2790-nucleotide small RNA is filed under the name Mytilus galloprovincialis (Mediterranean mussel). The record is from RNAcentral. Lineage: Eukaryota; Metazoa; Mollusca; Bivalvia; Mytilida; Mytilidae.
AUGAAAGUACAUGUGUUUGGCAACACCCCUUCAGCUGCUGUAGCGACAUAUUGUUUACGUGAAGCUGUUUCAGAAGCUGAUACUGAUGUGCGUUCCUUUGUUACGAAUGAUUUUUAUGUAGAUGAUGGUCUGAUCUCUUUUGAAGACAAGGAUGAUGCAAUUGACCUUAUGCAAAGAACACAAAAAGCUCUCAAGGAUAAUGGGAACAUACGAUUACACAAAAUAAUUUCAAACGAUAUCGAUGUGAUGAAAGCUUUUCCUUUAGAGGAUUUAGGAAAAGAGUUAAAAGAUUUGGAUUUGUGCUCAGACACUUUGCCUGUUCAGCAUAGUUUAGGUUUGUCGUGGAAUUUACAGACAGACAUGUUUAUCUUUCGUGUUAAUGAUGAUGAAAAACCAAUCACCCGUAGAGGCAUACUUUCAAAUAUUAACAGUUUGUUUGAUCCGUUGGGUUUUAUUACGCCGCUAGUCAUCAGUGGAAAAAUUUUACUUCGAGAAGUUGUUCCACCAGGAACUGAUUGGGAUGAUCCGCUGUCUACUGAUCAUGAAACAAAAUGGAAAAACUGGUUGAAGUCUUUGAAAUCUUUUAGUUGUUUUCAAAUACCUCGUAUGAUUGUUCCGGUAUCUAUUUCUUUAACACGCCAAGUUGAUAUCCACAUUUUCUCUGAUGCUUCAGAACAAGCAAUCUCUGCUGUAGCUUACCUGGAGGCAAUCGAUGAAACUGGUUCAGCAUGUAUAGGUUUUCUUACUGGAAAGUCGAAACUUGCACCUAUCAAAAGUCAUACUAUUCCUAGAUUGAAACUAUGCGGUGCCGUGCUGGCUACGGAAGUUGGAGAAGCGAUAUGUCAUCAUAUGAAUCUGUCUCCGAGUGUUUGUCAUUACUAUACAGACAGUCGAGUAGUCUUAGGAUAUAUAUGUAAUACCGUCCGUCGAUUCUUCACAUAUGUCAGUAAUCGUGUAGAAAAGAUUCAUACAGUGUCGGAACCUUCACAGUGGUCAUAUGUAUUCUUUAGUUUUCUAUGUUGUGUCAUGUGUACUAUUGUUUUUCUGUUUGUCUUUUUCAUUUUUAUCCAUGGCAUUGUCAGUUUGUUUGAGAUUUAUGAGUUUGACUGUCCCUUUGGUAUCUUUCGUCCCUCUUUCAACGGAUAGGAACCCAGCUGACUUAGGGACUAGAUUUAUUAGCUGUCCAGACAUGCAAAUUAUUAGUUCUUGGAUUAACGGACCGAAAUGGUUAUUAAACAAGGAACUUUUAAUAUUGUAUCUUUUCCGUUGUUAUCACCACAUGUUGAUAAGGAAAUUCGUCCAGAAAUUGUUUCACGUAAAACACAAAUCGACAGUCUACAGAUUGACUCUCAACGAUACAGCAAGUUUUCUAGUUGGCGAUUUCUCGUCAGAUCAUUAUCACUCCUGAGACACAUAGCUAAGACUUUAAGUACUACAACAACAUCUCGUUGCAAUGGUUGGCAUAUUUGCGUUGAAAAGGACACUCCAGAUUUUAUCAAGGGAACCGAGACAUUGAUCAUUAGACAAGUACAAAAGGAAUUCUUUGAACACGAGAUAGAUUCUUUAAAUACUGACCAGCAUGUUCCCAAAAAUAGUGCUAUUUUAAAACUUGACCCAAUACUGGAUGAACAUGGUAGUAUGCGAGUAGGAGGUAGAUUGAAUCGCUCUACAUUGACACUUGGUGAAAAGAAUCCGAUUUUAAUUCCUGGUAAACACCAUAUUGCAAGAUUACUAGUGUUACAUUACGAACAAGUCCACCACCAGGGACGUCAUAUAACCGAAGGCGCAAUCAGGUGUGCUGGUUACUGGAUUACCGGUAUCAAGCGUUUGAUAUACUCAAUUAUUUCAAGUUGCGUUUUAUGUCGAAGGUUUAGAGGUACUUUUUCGUCUCAAAAAAUGGCUGAUCUUCCAGAAGAAAGACUUUUAGCAUGCCCACCCUUUACAUAUGUUGGCUUUGAUUGUUUUGGACCCUGGAACAUUGUUACAAGACGUACUCGCGGUGGAAGCGCAAAUUCAAAACGAUGGGCUGUCUUAUUUGUCUGUUUUUCAUGUCGAAGUGUUCAUAUUAAAAUAAUUGAAGAGAUGACUACCGCAUCAUUUAUAAAUUCACUUCGCCGCUUCAUAUCAAUCAGAGGAUAUGUUAAAGAAUUCUUUUCUGAUAGAGGAACCAACUUUAUCGGCGGAGCCCGAGAGCUUGGCAUAGAAGCUUCUUUUGUUGAGGACUCAGUGUUUCAAUCCUUUAUGAAAGAACAAAAAACUGUGUGGAAAUUCAAUACACCGUAUUCAUCCCACAUGGGAGGUGCAUGGGAACGUUUCAUUGGCAUAGUAAGGCGUAUAUUGGACUCAAUAUUGUUUGAAGCUAGACAUCAACGAAUCACACAGGAAGUCUUGUGUACUUUCAUGGCAGAAACAACAGCUAUUAUGAACUCUCGUCCGUUAGUGCCUAUUUCAUCCGAUCCUAACGCACCAUCUAUCUUAUCUCCAAGUACUUUGCUAACACAGAAAGUGAGUGACAAUAUUGAGGACUUCAGCCAUUUGAACACGCGCGAUGUUUACACAAAUCAGUGGAAAUUUGUUCAGGUGUUAGCUGACAAAUUUUGGACACGUUGGAAACAAGAAUAUUUGCAGUCGUUACAAACUCGUCGCAAGUGGCAACACAUCAAACAAAACAUUCAAGAAGGUUAUGUAGUGCUUCUUAAAGACAAUGAACUCCAUCGAAAUAACUGGCCAAUAGGUCUUGUUGAACGUGUUUUCCAGGUAGAGACAGUUUGGUCCGUAAAGUUCAGUUGA